GAGCAUCUUCAGGGUCGGGUGUGAUUCCCAACCGGCGGUAAUUUCGUUUUUAGGAAUGAAAGAGCCCGCGAGCCUUUCUAAGGCAGAUUUGGUGAAAUGCCAAAGCCGACGGUAAAACCGCUUUAAGUAUAAGAGGUUAAAGUCCGGAUGAAAGAAGAUUUUA
This 163-nucleotide non-coding RNA is filed under the name Gammaproteobacteria bacterium. RNAcentral's name for it is "FMN sequence". It matches the Rfam family "FMN riboswitch aptamer (RFN element)". From Rfam's summary of the family: The RFN element is a highly conserved domain that is found frequently in the 5'-untranslated regions of prokaryotic mRNAs that encode for flavin mononucleotide (FMN) biosynthesis and transport proteins. This element is a metabolite-dependent riboswitch that directly binds FMN in the absence of proteins. Lineage: Bacteria; Pseudomonadati; Pseudomonadota; Gammaproteobacteria. The record is from RNAcentral.